Molecule: non-coding RNA, 202 nt
Organism: Pelobates cultripes (western spadefoot toad)
Lineage: Eukaryota; Metazoa; Chordata; Amphibia; Anura; Pelobatidae
Source: the annotation of a GenBank genome assembly
GUGAGGGAGGGGGUGACUAGUGACAGAAGGAGGGAGGGAGUAGUGACAGAGGGAGGUGGUGACUAGUGACAGAGUGAGGGAGGGAAGGGUGUGACUAGUGACAGUCACCACCUCCUUCACUCUGUCACUAGUCACCCCCUCCCUCACUCUGUCACUGUGACACCCUCUCUCUCACUCUGUCACUAGUCACCCCGUCCCUCAC